RNAcentral lists this ribosomal RNA (493 nucleotides) under uncultured bacterium. RNAcentral describes it as "bacterial SSU rRNA". It matches the Rfam family "Bacterial small subunit ribosomal RNA", at positions 30 to 521 of the family's 1533-position model. The record is from RNAcentral.
AUUGAACGCUGGCGGAAUGCUUUACACAUGCAAGUCGAACGGUAGAGGGGGCAACCCCUUGAGAGUGGCGAACGGGUGAGUAAUAUAUCGGAACGUGCCCAGUCGUGGGGAUAACGUAGCGAAAGUUACGCUAAUACCGCAUACGAUCUAAGGAUGAAAGCGGGGGAUCGCAAGACCUCGCGCGAUUGGAGCGGCCGAUAUCAGAUUAGGUAGUUGGUGAGGUAAAGGCUCACCAAGCCAACGAUCUGUAGCUGGUCUGAGAGGACGACCAGCCACACUGGAACUGAGACACGGUCCAGACUCCUACGGGAGGCAGCAGUGGGGAAUUUUGGACAAUGGACGCAAGUCUGAUCCAGCCAUUCCGCGUGCAGGAUGAAGGCCCUCGGGUUGUAAACUGCUUUUGUACGGAACGAAAGGUUUCUAUUAAUACUAGGAGCUCAUGACGGUACCGUAAGAAUAAGCACCGGCUAACUACGUAGCCAGCAGCCGCGGU